This is a small nucleolar RNA of Osmerus eperlanus (European smelt), 70 nucleotides long. RefSeq annotates it as small nucleolar RNA R38. The record is from RefSeq and is a predicted model, not a curated record. The transcript has a single exon. NCBI's taxonomy places the organism in Eukaryota, Metazoa, Chordata, Actinopteri, Osmeriformes, Osmeridae.
ACAAGCCUGUGAUGAAACAAGUUAUCCCUGUCUGAACUUUCUUGUGGAGUCAUGGUAACCUGAGGCUAGA